This 253-nucleotide ribosomal RNA is filed under the name uncultured bacterium. RNAcentral describes it as "partial 16S ribosomal RNA". It matches the Rfam family "Bacterial small subunit ribosomal RNA", at positions 524 to 776 of the family's 1533-position model. The record is from RNAcentral.
UACAGAGGUCUCAAGCGUUGUUCGGAUUCAUUGGGCGUAAAGGGUGUGUAGGUGGCUCCGUAAGUCGGGUGUGAAAUUUCGGAGCUUAACUCCGAAACUGCAUUCGAUACUGCGGUGCUUGAGGACUGGAGAGGAGACUGGAAUUCAUGGUGUAGCAGUGAAAUGCGUAGAGAUCAUGAGGAAGACCAGUGGCGAAGGCGGGUCUCUGGACAGUUCCUGACACUGAGACACGAAGGCGAGGGGAGCAAACGGG